AAACCGGUCUUCUUAAAGACCAUCAUUCUUAAAGAUGUUCAAUUUU
Molecule: non-coding RNA, 46 nt
Organism: Rozella allomycis CSF55
Lineage: Eukaryota; Fungi; Rozellomycota
Source: Rfam